AUGAUCUUCUUGGCUCGGGACAAAGUGCACAGAAACUGGGCUUUGAUGGGGUGGCAGAUGGCGAUGUAGCGCUCUAUGGUGAAGGCGGUGAUGGAGCAGGAGGACGCGUUGAUGCCCAGGUACUGGAGUAUCUGGAGCUUUGAUGGAUCCAACAGAUGUUAUCAGAUGGAGGACACUUUAAAGAUGCAGCAAACAACAAACAGAUCUUCUCUGCUCUGAUGAACCAUGGAAAGUGGCAUUUACUGAGUGGAACAUACGAGGCAAGAGAAGGAGAGACAGCUGAUUUUACAGGAAGUCGGUCCGAGUCGACCAGGACCCGCUGAGCUGUCAGAGCCGUGAGUCAGGAACGGUCAUAAAACAGCUGCUGCAGCCCUGACCUGCUCCAUUAGCUGGACGUACACCGGGCCGGGGGCCGUCUAUUACCUGGCUGACAGGAAGCAUCAUGGAGCUGCACGUCUAGAUCCAAGCAGCCGGGAUGGUUGUGGGCAGCCUUCAGGUGUGACAGGAGAAAAAAAACACAAAUCACAUUCAUCAUCUGUCACAGCUGAGAUUUCACAGGUGGAAUGAGCUGCUGGAAUGAAAGCCAAGGUCUCUGAGGAGGGAAUUAAAAACAAAGACUGCAGAGUUACAUAACAACAAGUUCCCCAACAUGUCUCUCAGAGAUUCCUUUCAGGAAGAUUAAACAUUUAUAUCAGCUAUAAAUAACAAUAAAGAAACGCAGAAUAUAAUGGUGAGGAUGAGGAUGAUGCUCAGGGAGAACAUAAACAUUGUUUUUGUGUCAGCAUAAGAAUAGAAAACAGAGAUAGAAGAAGGAAGCAGCUGAGGGGAGGUUGAUGUAAAGAUCUUUAACUGGGAAUUAGAAAUGAAGGAAAGAAAUAAAAUAAACCUGAGAUGCCAUCAUGUACAAACUGGAUCCUUUGAUUUGUUGCUAUUGAAUUAAAAUAUUUGUAUUCUGUCAUGACUAUUUAUGGUAAAAUAUUUAAAAUAUGAAACCCAUAUAUAUAUAAUACCAGUAUAUUUGAAAGUACCAGUUAUUCAUUUAAAACUAUGAGUUAAAAAGAUGAUGUUGAAACUCUUCACUGUGGUAAAAUCCAGUAAAAUGUAGUAAACUCUAGUUUACUGCAGUAUUUUUACAUUUUACCAUGUUACAGUUGAACUUUACUUAACCCUCAUGUCGUCCUGUGGGUCAAAAUUGACCCGUUUUAAAGUUUGAAAAUGAGAAAAAAAAAUAUUUUCACAAUGAAACUUCUGAUGACCACAUUUUCAACAUUUUUGGGCAUUUUUAAAAAUUUUUUUGGUUGAAAAAAAGAAAAGCUAAAAAUGUUUCUGAAGAACAUUCACCAAAAAAUCAACCAAAAUACAACGAAAUUUGCUGGAAAAUAUUAGAAGUUUUACUGAUAUAUAUGGAAUCACUUUAGAUAUUUUUUAGGAUUUUUUGUUUGGAAGAUUUUUGCUCAUUUUUUGAAAAUAUUUAUAAGAAUUUUCUUGCCAAAUUUGGGGGAUUUUGUAAAAAAAUAAACUUUUAAGGGAAACUUUUAAGGAAUUAUUGGAAUUUUCUUCCUGAAGGUUUUGCAAAUUUUCAGAAAUUUGGGGAAUGUUUUUGCUGAAUUUUUGUAUUUUUUUCAGACAAGAAAACAAUGUUUUUUAGUGCUCGUAAAUGAGGACAACAGGAAGGUUAAGUUAUUUACUCUAUAAUUGACUACAGCAAAGGUUUCGGUACCGUUUAGUUCUGUGACCAGAUUUUUCAAAAAUAUAUUGUAAUUAUUUGGUGUUGAUACUGUAAUGAACACCAUUACAUGGCAAUAUUAUUUUUACAGCAAAAAUAAUGCUGCUAUAUGUUUAAUUUUCCAUUUUGUUAAAAUAGACAACCCUAAAAUGUAAUAUCUGCUAGAUAUGUUUAUUUUAACAUUACAAAAUGUAUUAGAAAACAAAGGUCAUUAUAUAUAUUUAAUAAUUUCUCUUUAUAUGGAAAAAAUAACCUUGAAACAUACAGUGUAUAUUAUGUUGUUGUUGUUUUUUUUUCUUUUUAUGA
Molecule: long non-coding RNA, 2032 nt
Organism: Amphiprion ocellaris (clown anemonefish)
Lineage: Eukaryota; Metazoa; Chordata; Actinopteri; Pomacentridae
Exons: 4
Source: RefSeq, a predicted model, not a curated record